ACGUGUUAUGACAGCAGCCCGGGUGAGGCCGCUGUCUUCACCCAGGCUGGUUGGAGCUGUGACUGUGGGAGGCGUCGGGGUGAUGGCGGUGGAGACUCUGUCCCCGGACUGGGAGUUCGACCGCGUUGACGACGGCUCACAGAAAAUCCAUGCUGAAGUCCAGCUUAAGAAUUAUGGGAAAUUUCUUGAGGAGUAUACCUCUCAAUUGAGAAGAAUUGAGGACGCACUGGAUGAUUCAAUUGGAGAUGUUUGGGAUUUCAAUCUUGAUCCUAUAGCAUUAAAGCUUUUGCCUUAUGAACAGUCUUCCCUUUUGGAACUCAUAAAGACGGAAAACAAGGUCUUAAACAAAGUCAUCACUGUUUAUGCUGCACUUUGUUGUGAAAUCAAGAAAUUAAAAUAUGAGGCUGAAACUAAAUUUUAUAAUGGUCUCUUGUUUUAUGGAGAAGGAACUACAGAUUCCAGCAUGGUGGAAGGUGAUUGCCAAAUUCAAAUGGGGAGAUUUAUUUCAUUCUUACAGGAACUGUCUUGUUUUGUUACGAGGUGCUAUGAAGUGGUGAUGAAUGUAGUCCAUCAGUUGGCUGCUCUCUAUAUCAGUAACAAGAUUGCACCCAAAAUUAUAGAGACAACUGGCGUUCAUUUUCAGACUAUGUAUGAGCACUUGGGAGAGCUGCUAACAGUUUUGCUUACCCUGGAUGAAAUUAUUGAUAAUCAUAUCACAUUGAAAGACCACUGGACUAUGUACAAAAGGUUACUGAAAUCUGUCCAUCACAAUCCUUCAAAAUUUGGAAUUCAGGAGGAAAAACUAAAGCCAUUUGAAAAGUUCUUGUUGAAGCUAGAAGGGCAGUUACUCGAUGGAAUGAUAUUUCAGGGCUGUAUAGAACAGCAGUUUGAUUCUCUCAAUGGAGGAGUAUCUGUGUCAAAAAAUAGCACUUUUGCUGAAGAAUUUGCACAUAGUAUUCGCUCAAUUUUUGCAAAUGUAGAAGCCAAACUUGGAGAACCUUCUGAAAUUGACCAGAGAGACAAGUAUGUAGGAAUUUGUGGACUCUUUGUACUGCACUUUCAAAUUUUUCGAACUAUUGAUAAAAAGUUCUACAAAUCUUUAUUGGACAUUUGUAAGAAGGUACCAGCCAUCACUCUAACUGCUAAUAUUAUUUGGUUUCCUGAUAAUUUUUUGAUCCAGAAAAUACCAGCAGCUGCUAAACUUCUAGACAGAAAAAGUCUUCAAGCCAUUAAAAUGUACAGAGAUACUUUCCUACAGCAGAAAGCUCAGUCACUUACCAAAGAUGUACAGUCUUAUUACGUCUUUGUGAGCUCAUGGAUGAUGAAAAUGGAAUCUAUUUUAUCUAAAGAGCAGAAAAUGGAUAAAUUUGCUGAAGAUCUCACCAAUAGAUGUAAUGUUUUUAUACAGGGCUUUUUAUAUGCAUAUAGUAUUAGUACCAUUAUUAAAACCACAAUGAAUCUCUACAUGUCCAUGCAAAAGCCAAUGACCAAAACAUCAGUUAAGGCAUUAUGCAGGCUUGUUGAACUUCUCAAGGCAAUAGAGCAUAUGUUCUAUAGGAGAAGCAUGGUUGUGGCUGAUUCAGUCUCACAUAUAACACAACACCUUCAACAUCAGGCUCUUAAUUCUAUUUCUGUGGCCAAGAAAAGAGUAAUUUCUGACAAAAAAUAUAGUGAGCAGCGUCUUGAUGUGCUCUCUGCUCUGGUUUUGGCUGAAAACACUCUAAAUGGACCAAGCACAAAGCAACGACGACUUAUUGUUUCUUUGGCACUGAGUGUUGGCACACAAAUGAAAACAUUUAAAGAUGAAGAGCUCUUUCCUCUUCAAGUAGUCAUGAAAAAGCUGGAUCUUAUCAGUGAACUUAGAGAAAGAGUCCAAACACAAUGUGACUGUUGUUUUUUAUACUGGCAUCGAGCUGUCUUCCCAAUUUAUUUAGAUGAUGUAUAUGAAAAUGCUGUGGAUGCAGCCAGAUUACAUUACAUGUUCAGUGCUUUACGUGACUGUGUGCCCGCUAUGAUGCAUGCAAGGCAUUUAGAUUCCUAUGAAAUACUUCUGGAUUGCUAUGAGAAGGAAAUUAUGGAAAUUUUAAAUGAGCAUUUGCUGGACAAGUUGUGCAAAGAAAUAGAGAAAGAUCUGCGACUUUCUGUGCAUACUCAUUUAAAGCUGGAUGACAGAAAUCCUUUCAAAGUUGGCAUGAAAGACCUGGCCCUUUUUUUCUCUCUGAAUCCAAUUCGGUUUUUCAAUCGUUUCAUUGACAUUCGAGCUUAUGUAACUCACUACCUAGACAAGACUUUCUACAAUCUAACAACAGUAGCUCUUCAUGACUGGGCCACUUACAGUGAAAUGAGAAAUUUAGCUACUCAGCGUUAUGGAUUGGUUAUGACAGAGGCACAUCUUCCUAGUCAAACUUUGGAACAGGGCCUGGAUGUCUUGGAAAUUAUGAGAAACAUUCAUAUAUUUGUGUCUCGAUACCUCUAUAAUCUCAACAAUCAAAUUUUUAUUGAACGAACAAGCAAUAACAAACAUUUGAACACUAUUAAUAUUCGGCACAUAGCUAAUUCAAUUCGAACACAUGGCACGGGAAUCAUGAAUACAACAGUUAAUUUCACCUACCAGUUUUUGAAAAAGAAGUUUUAUAUAUUUAGCCAAUUUAUGUAUGAUGAACAUAUCAAAUCCAGAUUGAUUAAAGAUAUUCGGUUUUUCAGGGAAACCAAGGACCAAAAUGAUCAUAAGUACCCUUUUGAAAGAGCAGAAAAAUUCAAUCGAGGCAUCAGAAAACUUGGAAUAACCCCAGAGGGACAAAGCUACCUCGACCAAUUCAGGCAACUCAUCAGCCAAAUUGGUAAUGCUAUGGGCUAUGUACGAAUGAUAAGAUCUGGUGGCCUUCAUUGUAGCAGCAAUGCCAUUAGAUUUGUACCUGAUCUUGAAGAUAUUGUAAAUUUUGAAGAACUAGUAAAAGAAGAAGGUCUUGCAGAAGAAACAGUAAAAGCAGCAAGGCAUUUGGAUUCAGUCCUCAGUGAUCACACACGAAAUUCUGCUGAAGGCACAGAGUAUUUCAAAAUGCUUGUAGAUGUUUUUGCUCCAGAAUUUCGAAGGCCAAAGAAUAUACAUCUCCGAAAUUUCUAUAUCAUUGUUCCCCCUCUGACCCUCAACUUUGUAGAACACUCCAUUAGUUGCAAGGAGAAACUGAAUAAAAAAAAUAAAAUUGGAGCUGCCUUUACUGAUGAUGGCUUUGCCAUGGGUGUGGCUUACAUUCUAAAGCUCUUGGAUCAGUACCAGGAAUUUGAUUCACUUCAUUGGUUCCAGUCUGUUAGAGAGAAAUACCUGAAGGAGAUAAGAGCAGUUGCUAAGCAACAGAACGUACAGUCAGCUAGUCAGGAUGAAAAACUACUACAAACCAUGAAUCUCACUCAGAAGCGACUGGAUGUUUAUCUACAGGAAUUUGAAUUGCUGUAUUUCUCACUGAGCAGUGCAAGAAUUUUCUUCAGAGCUGAUAAAACUGCAGCUGAAGAAAACCAAGAAAAGAAAGAGAAGGAAGAAGAGAUUAAAACAAGCAAUGGAGACCUGUCUGAGAGCACUGUGUCUGCAGAUCCUGUUGUCAAAUGAUAUUGAUGGUUAUUAUAUUCAAUAUAGUUCCUGUGCUAUACAAUUUCAUUCUGAGUGCUGAACAAUGCAAUCUAAGAAAAGAACUUACCACAAAGCACCUAAAAUAACAUUUGUAGUUGGGUUCUGCUGGACAGUGCUGAACCAGAAGCACCCUGAGGCAGGAACCGUCUGUCUUGCUCACUGCUGUAAGUCCAGGGUUUUUCUUCCACAAACUUUGCUCUCAAACAUUUGUUGUGUCAAUGAAAGACUGUAAGCUGCUGAUGGACAGAUAGGUGUGAGAGGCUUCACCUCCAGGAAGUUUCCAGAUGACAUCUGUCAGUGUUGCUGGGCCUUUGACCACUCAGGAAGGAGCAGGGCCUUAGAGCACACAGUAGACACUUAAGUUUGUAUCAUCUUAAUUUGAAAGAAAGGAAAUCUAGCCAACAACAGCAGGCAAAAAAACCUGAUAAGACAGCAGGAGCUACAGCAGUGAUAUUUAUUAAGAACUCCAUGUGUUACCAGUGGCUGUAGAACUAGCUGAUCGGAAGUGUUUGGUAAUUAGAACGCUUAAAAGGAAAUUCCAAACUUGGCCACCCUGCCUUGUGAGCAUCAUUUUUCUUUUUGAGCGAAAUCUUAGUAUGUGUACAGAUGUCUCCUAAGUAGUUGUUAAACCACCACGUUUAAAAUGCACCUUACCUUCUGAGCCUUAAUUAUUUCUUUUCCCAAAUUAAUAGCAUAACAUAUCUGCAAAAGACAAGAAAAGUAGUGUUUGGCAAAGGCAGCAAAGGAUAAAGAAUUUUAGAAAAAAAUGUGAUUAUGAAAGUAUCAGGUCACUGCUCACGUCAACAUAGGGACAGGGGACCUGGCUACAAGAGACUCUACACGGGGCUCUGAACAUGAGCGUCCACCUGUCUUGGUCUCCUGAUGCCAGUUUGUGUGUACAAAAAAUAUUCAAGUUAAGUGAAAACUGAAGUUAUUAAAUUGUUUAAAAUUCUUAACAGGAUACUUUUUCUUUUCUCUCAACCAUAUUUCACCACUGCAUGUUCAUAUACACAGUGGCAAACAGAUACUUCCUGAAAGGGUUGAUGCAUUUUGAUUAAUUCUAAGUAGUGAAUGUCAGCCACAAAGUUUUUCAUACUAAAGAACACUUUAGAUGUACUUUCCCGACAUCUGCUUCCUCGAUUUGCUACCUGAGAACAGACUUUCCUCAUUGUUAUUUUUGCUUUAAUUUUUUUAAAAAAGAAUAAAUUGAGGGAAACUGCUUUUAAUGUUUCCUGAUAUCUCUACUAAAAAAUACUUCAACCAUUAAAUUUCGGUUGAUAUGUAUUUUCUCCAGGGAAAUUUAACCUGUCAGUUUUCUUUCAGUUGGGCCUUCCCAGGAGGUAUUACUAGCUAAACUCCACAAUGAAGACAGGCAGAAUAGUCAGAAUAUCCAGGGAGGUGGUACAAAGUAACCCUUUAAACACCUUUGAUUUGGACUGACAUUACAGAAUCUUAAAGUGAAGAAAGUAACAAGACCUUUUCGCCUUCUGAGUUGCUUUCAAAAACAUAUGUGCUCAGAGACUCUCCACCUGUGGAUUCAGGCAUGCGGACCACAAAGCCAACCAGUCUCUUGUUUUCUUGAUGAGCAGCAAACUGAGUGACACUGGUAAGUUCAAACUACAAAAAAACAGGAACAGACUGACUAUCAAACCACAAACUGGAAUUAAAAAACAGACAAGGUCAUUCUUCAUGGAAAAAGUCAUGAAAAAUUGCACUAUUAGUGGCAUUUAAUUUGGCAACUGUAUUAAAAGUGCCUACUUUAUGGUUAAGGUGGCUACAAAGGUGAAUUAAAGAGUAAUCAUUAAAAUGAGCGUGCAUGCAGGUACUUACAUUGGCCCUUGUUACUUGAGUCUGAGGAUCUAUCAACCUGAAAUUUUAAGAGAUUCAUUAUCACAAAGUUGGAUAAAAUUAUAUUACGUGAGUUUGUAGAGGUUCAGAAUGGAAUCACACAAAUACCCUCCAAAUACGAAAAUAUAAGGCCUGGUUGAGGGUGAGGUGAGAGCUCCAUGGACCGUCCAAGGGAGCGUGUGCCGUGGUUUCUGCCUCAGCCGAACCUGUGAGGUUAGGCCUCAGGGUAUCUUUAUGAAAGACUAGCAGAGAAUUAAUUUCACAGUAUUUCAGUACUUAUCCAAAAAGGCAGCAUUAUAAUUCUCCAGAAAAUUCUGUAUAACGUGGAUGGAUCACAUUCUAUACAGCCACCUUCCCAACAUUUAUUGACUGUCAGUUUCCCUUGAAGUACUGGAUGAAUAGAUACUUAUAACAAUUUUUAUUUUUUUUAAAACAUGGGGUAGAGGUGAGAGAACAGUGAAGGGAUUUUAAAACGAUUCCCUAUCAGUUUGGAUGUAGGAGUAACUUUAAGAAGGUAUUCUAGAUACACUCUUUAACAACAUUUUAACCGUCAUCUAAUAUAAUCCAAUUGAUGUCUCUGGGAAGACUAACUGCAUGAGAGAAUUUGCUGUUACCCUAUAUACAGAUACACAUUUCUACUUUCUAACACAUGGUAUUAUAUAAGUUACUGAUUUGCUUAUUAUGCUUGAUUAUUAUUGAUUAUAUGAGUUUCGUAAGUAAAAGCAAAACAAUCAAUUUGUUAAAAAGAUGGUUAUAAUUCCAUUUAUAUGAAAUGUCCAGAACAGGCUCAUCUAUGGAGACAGCAAGAUUAGUGGUCAGUGGCUGCGUAGAGCUGAGCACGUCGCAGGGAAGGAGGGAAUGACUGCUGACAGAGAUGGGUUUUCUUUGGGGGGAUGAUAAAAAUGUUCUAAAACUGGUGAUGGCUGCAAAAAUCUGAAUGUACUAAAAACAGUGGGUGAAUUGCACAAUGGGUGAACUGCACAAUACGUAAGUUAUGUCUCAAAGCUAUUACCCACUGCCACAAAUGGUUAGUGUUUGAAAUAUAGGCAUUUAUACUUGUUAAAGCGAGGGAUUGAGAGGGCUCAGAUCCCAACCUGGCUACUUACUUUAUGAUCUUGUGCGAAUCGCCCUGACUUCUCUCAACUGCUUUGUAAAACUGGGAUAAGAACACUUCAAAAAGGUGGUUAAGAAAAUGAGAAAAUGUGUAUGGAAUUUUAAGCUACAAAGCUAAAUCAAUGUUAAAGUGAGUAUCAAUUUAAUGAUUUUUAAAAUCUACACCAUAAAUAAUUUCCCUCAAGUUGGGAUAACUUUCUUAGGUAUUUUGUAAAAUUUUUCUAUACAUGAAAACUUAAAACAUGCAUGUCAUACUUUCUGAGUAACUUUUAAAAGUUUUCUGUCUAAAUCAGGUAACCUGGAUUUGCCUCUCAAGAUCUGAUUUUCUGUGUGACUUCUAGAUUGUCUCAUAACGUGAAUUCCAGUAUACAAGUGUGUGUAUAUAUAGUGGUAAAGUACACCUGACAUAAAAUUGACCACUACUGAUAUUUAGUACAUUCACAACAUUGUACAACCAUUACCACGGUCUAGUUCCAGAACAUCCUCAUCACCUCAGAAGGAAACACCAUACCUGUUAAAGCAGCUGCUCCCCAUUCCACCUUAUUUUCACUUUUUGGCAGCUUCUCACUAACUUGCUGUCUGUUUCCACAGAUUUGCCUAUUCUGGAUAGUUCACAUAAGUGACCAUACAUAGUGGCUGUCGGGGCCUGCCUUCUUUCCCUUCAUGUAACAUGGUGAUGGCUCAUCCAUGUUGUAGCGUGUACCGGUACUUCAUUCCUUUUCAAGGCUAAUAUCCUACUGUAUGUAUAUACCAUGUUUUGUUUAUUCAUUUUUUGAUCGACAUUUGGAUUAUUUCUACCUUCUGGCUAUUGUGAAUAGUACUAUUAUAUGAACGUUUGUGUACAAGUUUUUGUUUAAAGUUUUUUUCAGUUCUUUUGGGUAUAUACUCAGAAAUGGAAUUCUGAACGUUACAGAGGAACUGCCAAAUUAUUUUGAACAGUGGCUGAACCAUCUUACGUGCCCACCAGCAAUGAGUUUCAGUUUCUCCAUAUCCUUGCUGACACCUUUUUUUUUUUACUUUCUUUUUAAAAAAUAUUUAUGGCCAUCCUAGUAGGCAUGAAGUGGUUCUGGAUUUGAUUUGCAUUUCCCUAGUGACUCAACACUGAGCAUCUUUUCAUGUGCUUGUUGGCCAUUAAUAUAUCUUUAUAUAGAAAUGUCUACUCAAGUCCUUCAUCCAUUUUUACCUGGGCUUCUUUCCUUUGUUGAUUUGUGAGAGUUCUUUAGUUUUGAUACUAGACCUUUAAUUAGAUAUAUGAAUUGCAAAUGUUUUCUCCCACUGUGGGUUGUCUUUGCACUUUGAGUAGUGUUUUCUGAUACACUACAUUUUUCACAGUGCUUUUACAUGUAUUUACUCUGAUCUUUUUGGUUGAAAUUAUAAGAACAAUUAAACAAUGCCUAUGAAAGGUUCAAGACAUACUUGGAGAAAAGCCUUAAAUAGGUUUUAUUCAUAAGAAUCUCAUUCUCAAUAGAAGCUUUAUAAUAAGUGAAGAGGACUGAUUUUUAAUAAGUGGAAGAAACUAUAUUCUGAUUUUUGCCAAAGCACUAGUUAACUUUUUGGAAACUACCAUUUAUCGAACACUUUCUACGUGCCAGUCAUGGCUGUAAAUGUUUUACAUGUAUUAAUUCACUUAUUCCUCAUGACAACUCUAUAGGGUGUGGAUAUGGUUGUUUUCAUUUUGUAGCUGAAGAAACCAAGGCAUGGAGGUUAAGUAACUUGCCCAAGUUCAUACAACUAAUAAAUGCCACAGUCAGGAAUAAGGCUCUAAAGCAGUGCUGCUGUCCCACAGAAAUUUAGUGUAAGCCUCAUAUGUAAGUAAAAAACUUCUAGCAGCCAGUUAGAAAAAAAAUGAAAUGGUGAAAUUAAUAUAUACUUUAUAGACCUAUAAUAAUACCAGCUAGACAUGUUACUAAUAUAAAAAUUAAGAUAGUGUGCAUUCUUUUGGGGAGAUAGUGUGCAAUCUUAGAAAUUUGGUAUGUGUUUUAUACUUACUACACUUCCCAAUGCAGAUAAGUUAGGUUUCAGGUACCAGAUGAAGCCACAGUAUUAGAGAGUGCAACUCUUAACAAAGCCCAUGCCGAACACAACCUGACCGUCGUCUGCUGUCAUUCAUACAGAUCUUAUUACUUGAGACCCCGAAACAUGCAGUUAAUAUGGCUUGGCUUAUUUUCGGCCCAACAAAUACUAAUCAGAUCUCCCUUGUGGUGAUCUAGUUGUCUCAGGCAAGCUUAUGGUUCUGUUUUCACUGUUAAUUAAUUUUUAUAAAUAGUAUUCUCAGAGAUGGAAACGAAAAAAAAAUCUUCCAUUUUCAAGCUCUGAGAUACAGAGUAACUCUCAUGAUGGCAUCUUUAUGCACAGUAGGGUAGGAUUCACUCACCACUAAAGAUACCAAUUUCUAAAAAACACCAGCUCUUGUCUUUUAGGGAGCAUCUUCCAUUCAUUGUAUCUUAUAAAACAAACGUAAAAAAGAGCAGAAAGAAGAGUAGCAUCUUCACUUAAUCAAACAAGUACUCUAGGAUGAACAUUCUAGAUGAGUAAACGUGCCUUAAAAGAGGAGUCAGACGAAGCUGUAAGAAAGUCUGAAAAUGAAGCUGAAUGUACCUCAGAGUCUGACUGGUGACCAUCAGAUGGGAUUCCGUCAUCCGGAAGAUGUUAUGAAUAGCCCGAGCAGCCAAUACUUGUCUCAUCGCUUCGUAAAUCACUUCAGUAGUGGUGUCUGUUUUAACUGCCAUUGAUCCCAAAAACCGAACUAUGAACAUCUGUUGCAAAAGAGAAUCUGCAAGAGAGCAUUUUCUGCUCAGGAUCACAUUGACUCCCUGCCUGCCACUCCGCACACCAGAGGCAGAUGUGCCGUCUGGGAACAGGCUGAAGACCUCAGGUUUGCCUUGCUUUCUGGAGGGAUUUCCACCCAAACGCAAAACUCAGCUUUUAUAAACCCCAAACGGACAACGCUCUGAACUGUCCACAUUUGUCUGGAACUAUUUAUUAGGCUAGAAAAGCACCUUUUUUUCUUCAUCUAUAAAAUGAAACCAAAUGAACAUCCUUCUAACACUAAAAGUUCAGGUGACUACAUCUAAGUGGCAGUAUAUGCAUCUCACCUUUUCUCUGAAAAUAAGAGCUUUUCCACCAGGCAACAGAAAAUUCAUUCAUUACUUUGGCCUCUUACAGAGGAAAAUCUAUUUGAAUACCUGACCUUGGGUCUCAUUCAGUUAAUUUACAUCAUUUAUCGCUGAAGGGCAGUGAUGAUACUCCACACACUACUGGAGCUCUCAAACUCUAUGAAUUUUUUGGUUCUGAUGAACUGACAGCACUGCCGCCCUGAUGAUGGCACAUAACCUGACAACAGCAAGCACAACUGGAAGAUCAUGAAGGUUUAAAAGAUCUUUUUUUUUCUGUAACAACAAUUCACUUAUUCACUAUCUGAAACUAAGAGGCCUACUUUUUCUUCACUUGCCCUAUUAGUAUCCUUGUCUCUAAAAAUAACUUAAGGUUUACAAAACUUAUUAGGAAAAAAUAACUGAUACAGUGUCAUAAGUGGUUACUCCCAUAUGAAGAUAGUUUUUACAAGUCUGAAAGUUCUUUGUAUAGACUGCUAACAAACUGGACCGUAUGAAAAGCCAGCUAUAUGUAAGUGGAGAGUCAGAGUUGAGGCACAGCCUAUUUUUUUUCCUUUUCCUUUUUUUAAAAAUUGAAGUAUAUAGCUGAUUUACAGCAAAGUGAUUCAGUUAUGCAUGUACAUAUCUAUCUAUAGUUCCCUGUGCUAUUCAGUAGGGCCUUGUUAUCUAUUUUACAUAUAGUAGUGUGUAUCUGUUAAUCCGAAAUUCUUAAUUUAUUCCUCCCCCCACCUUUUGUGCCUAAAGCUGUAAGGAAUGCCAGUUCUUAAAUCCUACUUUUAAAUUUAAAUGAGUGGCAUUUCAUUCUGAUGACAUUCUCAGGCUUCAGUCAUGAAGCUGUGUUAAAGUGAGGUCCUGCCAGCACCUGUAAUGACUAGAUCGCCGUGGCUAGGCACUCAGGUUCCGCUUUGUGCAGGAGCAGGCUAUGGUCAGCUCUGUUGAGUAUGUUCUUACGUAAAUCAGAACAACAAAAAUCUGAAUCUGAACUAAUACUUUUUUCAUGUUGUCUUCAAAUUAAAAAAUGAGCCAUUA
Molecule: RNA transcript, 10728 nt
Organism: Camelus dromedarius (Arabian camel)
Lineage: Eukaryota; Metazoa; Chordata; Mammalia; Artiodactyla; Camelidae
Gene: WASHC4
Gene name: WASH complex subunit 4
Exons: 36
Source: RefSeq, a predicted model, not a curated record